Molecule: long non-coding RNA, 428 nt
Organism: Candoia aspera
Lineage: Eukaryota; Metazoa; Chordata; Lepidosauria; Squamata; Candoiidae
Exons: 3
Source: RefSeq, a predicted model, not a curated record
CACUGUGCCUGCCCCAAAUACGAUUGAUGGUGUGGAAUUACAUCUUAGAGGUCACCUGAUGCAACAGUCUUGUUUAGAAUGAAUUGGAUGGAAGCUGAAGGGAUCCUGCUGGAAGAUCCCCUGGGGAAUCAGCUUCUCAACUUGAGACCAGCUACUGUCGUAAAACACAUAGACAGACAGAUAUAAACUGUUAUCUCUUCUGGCUUUAUAAUAUUUUUGCCAUGUUCUCCCAUCCUCCAUUAUUCAUAUGUGCACAAGUGAAGCUUCUAUGCUGCAGGUAAUAAGACAAAUUAAAGCUAACAUGUAACUUAACGUAAGGCAAUAGAGCUUUAUGAAGUUAUAUAAGGCUUAGAGAAAGGGGUCAGUAGUCUUCUCUGAAACUUAUGGGCAACAGAUUGCAUAAAUAAAAGAAAUCUUUUCUUUUCCAA